CACGCCGUAAACGAUGAGUGCUAAGUGUUAGAGGGUUUCCGCCCUUUAGUGCUGCAGCAAACGCAUUAAGCACUCCGCCUGGGGAGUACGACCGCAAGGUUGAAACUCAAAGGAAUUGACGGGGGCCCGCACAAGCGGUGGAGCAUGUGGUUUAAUUCGAAGCAACGCGAAGAACCUUACCAGGUCUUGACAUCCUCUGACAAUCCUAGAGAUAGGACUUUCCCCUUCGGGGGACAGAGUGACAGGUGG
Molecule: ribosomal RNA, 249 nt
Filed under: uncultured Bacillus sp.
Lineage: Bacteria; Bacillati; Bacillota; Bacilli; Caryophanales; Bacillaceae
Description: partial 16S ribosomal RNA
Rfam family: Bacterial small subunit ribosomal RNA
Source: RNAcentral